This 465-nucleotide ribosomal RNA is filed under the name uncultured bacterium. RNAcentral's name for it is "bacterial SSU rRNA". It matches the Rfam family "Bacterial small subunit ribosomal RNA", at positions 338 to 795 of the family's 1533-position model. The record is from RNAcentral.
CCUACGGGGUGCAGCAGUGGGGAAUAUUGCACAAUGGGCGCAAGCCUGAUGCAGCCAUGCCGCGUGUAUGAAAAAGGCCUCCGGGUUGUAAAGUACUUUCAGCGGGGAGGAAGGUGUUGUGGUUAAUAACCGCAGCAAUUGACGUUACCCGCAGAAGAAGCACCGGCUAACUCCGUGCCAGCAGCCGCGGUAAUACGGAGGGUGCAAGCGUUAAUCGGAAUUACUGGGCGUAAAGCGCACGCAGGCGGUCUGUCAAGUCGGAUGUGAAAUCCCCGGGCUCAACCUGGGAACUGCAUUCGAAACUGGCAGGCUGGAGUCUUGUAGAGGGGGGUAGAAUUCCAGGUGUAGCGGUGAAAUGCGUAGAGAUCUGGAGGAAUACCGGUGGCGAAGGCGGCCCCCUGGACAAAGACUAACGCUCAGGCGCGAAAGCGUGGGGAGCAAACAGGAUUAGAUACCCCAGUAGUC